CCUACGGGAGGCAGCAGUAAGGAAUAUUGGACAAUGGGCGCAAGCCUGAUCCAGCCAUGCCGCGUGAAGGAUUAAGGUCCUCUGGAUUGUAAACUUCUUUUAUAGGGGACGAAAAAAGGGCAUUCUUGCUCACUUGACGGUACCCUAUGAAUAAGCACCGGCUAACUCCGUGCCAGCAGCCGCGGUAAUACGGAGGGUGCAAGCGUUAUCCGGAUUCACUGGGUUUAAAGGGUGCGUAGGCGGGCAGUUAAGUCAGUGGUGAAAUCUCCGAGCUCAACUCGGAAACUGCCAUUGAUACUAUCUGUCUUGAAUAUUGUGGAGGUAAGCGGAAUAUGUCAUGUAGCGGUGAAAUGCUUAGAUAUGACAUAGAACACCUAUUGCGAAGGCAGCUUACUACGCAUAUAUUGACGCUGAGGCACGAAAGCGUGGGGAUCAAACAGGAUUAGAUACCCUGGUAGUCCACGCCCUAAACCGAUGGAUACUCGACAUACGCGAUACACUGUGUGUGUCUGAGAGAAGACAUUAAGUUAUACCACCCGUACGGUAGUACGUACCGCGACGAGUAGAAACGUUAAAGUUAGUAAGUAGUUACGGCGUUGAGACGNGCCGACGGACGACGACGAGGGAGGUUAGG
Molecule: ribosomal RNA, 634 nt
Filed under: uncultured bacterium
Lineage: Bacteria
Description: bacterial SSU rRNA
Rfam family: Bacterial small subunit ribosomal RNA (bases 1-537)
Source: RNAcentral